Molecule: non-coding RNA, 1002 nt
Organism: Misgurnus anguillicaudatus (oriental weatherfish)
Lineage: Eukaryota; Metazoa; Chordata; Actinopteri; Cypriniformes; Cobitidae
Source: RefSeq, a predicted model, not a curated record
CCCGAGAGCUGUAAGUAGCGGAGCUGGUGAGAACCAUUCAAAGACCAAUAACAGUGUUUCUGUGUCCUAGCGAUCACCUGUGGAGAGAGAAAGGAAAACGAGAGAGGGUCAGUAAAGAGCCGACUGUGAACGUGAUACUUACCCCGAGAGCUGUAAGCAGCGGAGCUGGUGAGAACCAUUCAAAGACCAAUAACAGUGUUUCUGUGUCCUAGCGAUCACCUGUGGAGAGAGAAAGGAAAACGAGAGAGAGUCAGUAAAGAGCCGACUGUGAACGUGAUACUUACCCCGAGAGCUGUAAGCAGCGGAGCUGGUGAGAACCAUUCAAAGACCAAUAACAGUGUUUCUGUGUCCUAGCGAUCACCUGUGGAGAGAGAAAGGAAAACGAGAGAGAGUCAGUAAAGAGCCGACUGUGAACGUGAUACUUACCCCGAGAGCUGUAAGCAGCGGAGCUGGUGAGAACCAUUCAAAGACCAAUAACAGUGUUUCUGUGUCCUAGCGACCACCUGUGGAGAGAGAAAGGAAGACGAGAGAGAGUCAGUAAAGAGCCGACUGCGAACGUGAAACUUACCCCGAGAGCUGUAAGCAGCGGAGCUGGUGAGAACCAUUCAAAGACCAAUAACAGUGUUUCUGUGUCCUAGCGAUCACCUGUGGAGAGAGAGAAGAAGACAAGAUGGCCGCCUGUGGAAAGAGAAGAAGGCGAGAGUAAGCCAUUGGGCACGGACAGUGGAGAAACCCCUAACAGCCACACCAGAAGUUGUCUGCCUCCAGGAAGAGAAGAAGGAGGGCGCCACGGCCAGCAGGGUCCAGGCGGGAGCCUGACGUUUCCUUUUUCCCCCGUUGAUGGUGGUUGGCACCCCCGUUUUCCCAUCCCUGUCACCCGUGGCUGUAGUCUCCCUGGAGGGAGUAGAAGAAGCCAUUAGUUUUAAAAUUCCCCUUUCCCCGAAAUUUCCCCCCCAUCCUUUUAAGUAUUUAAGAUUUCAAUAAAGCUUGUUUUAAAUUUUA